GAGGGUAUAGCUUAGUGGUAGAAUGCUUGCCUAGCAUGCAUGAGGCUCUGGGUUCACUCCCCAGUACUUCA
Molecule: non-coding RNA, 71 nt
Organism: Ictidomys tridecemlineatus (thirteen-lined ground squirrel)
Lineage: Eukaryota; Metazoa; Chordata; Mammalia; Rodentia; Sciuridae
Source: Rfam